RNAcentral lists this non-coding RNA (21 nucleotides) under Xenopus tropicalis (tropical clawed frog). Lineage: Eukaryota; Metazoa; Chordata; Amphibia; Anura; Pipidae. The record is from RNAcentral. RNAcentral also lists the same sequence under 11 other names.
UAGCAGCACAUAAUGGUUUGU